UACUAGAGUAGCACUCGCAUAUCAAUAAGCGGAGGAAAAGAAACUAACAAGGAUUCCCCUAGUAACGGCGAGUGAAGCGGGAAGAGCUCAAAUUUGAAAUCUUAAAGGGUUUCCCUUUACGAAUUGUAGUUUAAAGAAGUGUUUUCUGUUGAGGUUUUGGUAAAAGUUCUUUGGAAUAGGACAUCAUAGAGGGUGAGAAUCCCGUAUUUGACCUUUACUUUCAACUUUGUGAUACACUUUCAAAGAGUCGGAUUGUUUGGGAAUGCAGUCCAAAAUGGGUGGUAAAUUUCAUCUAAAGCUAAAUAUUGGCGAGAGACCGAUAGCGAACAAGUACCGUGAGGGAAAGAUGAAAAGAACUUUGAAAAGAGAGUUAAACAGUACGUGAAAUUGUCAAAAGGGAAGCGUUUGACACCAGUGUUGUUUUUCUGAAAAUCAAUUAAAGAACUGUUUAUGCUAAGUUGUUUAGACUUUAUCAGCUAACUGUUUAGUUUUGAGCUUUUCUUUAAUGCACUUUUCAGUUAACAAGUCAACAUCAAUUUCUUUUGCUGUAAAAAAGCUUGAGGAAGGUGGCUUGAGAUUCGUCUUAAGUGUUUAUAGCCUCUUGCCUAUGCAGUCGGAGAGAUUGAGGUCUGCAGCGUAGAUCCUUCGGGGCUAAAUGCAUUUGUGCUAAGUUAUAGCAUUUUAUAGACAACUUGUUGACUAUGAUUUGUCUUGUAGCUUACUCGCUUAUGUUAUUUUACCUACGCUUAGGAUGUUGAGCGCAUGUCUCUCUCU
RNAcentral lists this ribosomal RNA (774 nucleotides) under uncultured Neocallimastigales. RNAcentral describes it as "partial large subunit ribosomal RNA". It matches the Rfam family "Eukaryotic large subunit ribosomal RNA", at positions 20 to 616 of the family's 3401-position model. Lineage: Eukaryota; Fungi; Neocallimastigomycota; Neocallimastigomycetes; Neocallimastigales. The record is from RNAcentral.